This 194-nucleotide ribosomal RNA is filed under the name uncultured bacterium. RNAcentral describes it as "partial 16S ribosomal RNA". It matches the Rfam family "Bacterial small subunit ribosomal RNA", at positions 338 to 524 of the family's 1533-position model. The record is from RNAcentral.
CCUACGGGAGGCAGCAGUGGGGAAUAUUGCACAAUGGGCGCAAGCCUGAUGCAGCCAUGCCGCGUGUGUGAAGAAGGCCUUAGGGUCGUAAAGCACUUUCAGUGGGGAGGAAGGCGAAGAGGUUAAUAACCUCUUCGAUUGACGUUACCCGCAGAGGAAGCACCGGCUAACUCCGUGCCAGCAGCCGCGGUAAU